UACGUAGGGAGCGAGCGUUGUCCGGAUUCAUUGGGCGUAAAGAGCGCGCAGGCGGUUUGGUAAGUCGGAUGUGAAAACCCGGGGCUCAACCCCGGGCGUGCAUCUCGAUACUGCCCGACUAGAGGUAGGUAGGGGAGAUCGGAAUUCCUGGUGUAGCGGUGAAAUGCGCAGAUAUCAGGAGGAACACCGGUGGCGAAGGCGGAUCUCUGGGCCUUACCUGACGCUCAGGCGCGAAAGCUAGGGGAGCGAACAGG
Molecule: ribosomal RNA, 254 nt
Filed under: uncultured bacterium
Lineage: Bacteria
Description: partial 16S ribosomal RNA
Rfam family: Bacterial small subunit ribosomal RNA
Source: RNAcentral